RNAcentral lists this ribosomal RNA (239 nucleotides) under uncultured Lactobacillus sp. RNAcentral's name for it is "partial 16S ribosomal RNA". It matches the Rfam family "Bacterial small subunit ribosomal RNA", at positions 123 to 356 of the family's 1533-position model. The record is from RNAcentral. Lineage: Bacteria; Bacillati; Bacillota; Bacilli; Lactobacillales; Lactobacillaceae.
AACCUGCCCAAGAGAUCGGGAUAACACCUGGAAACAGAUGCUAAUACCGGAUAACAACAGAUGAUGCCUAUCAACUGUUUAAAAGAUGGUUCUGCUAUCACUCUUGGAUGGACCUGCGGUGCAUUAGCUAGUUGGUAGGGUAACGGCCUACCAAGGCGAUGAUGUAUAGCCGAGUUGAGAGACUGAUCGGCCACAUUGGGACUGAGACACGGCCCAAACUCCUACGGGAGGCAGCAGCG